Long non-coding RNA from Capsicum annuum, 1406 nucleotides. RefSeq lists it as uncharacterized. Lineage: Eukaryota; Viridiplantae; Streptophyta; Magnoliopsida; Solanales; Solanaceae. The transcript is spliced from 2 exons. The record is from RefSeq and is a predicted model, not a curated record.
UGCGCUUUAGCCACCGGAAUGUCACUACAAAGGGCGGAUCAGCUAACAUGAGAAGUAAAGGUAGAAGACAGAACCCAAUGAUUUUGGUCUAAAUCAGGUAAAGAAGCCCACGAGCAAUCCCCAGUAUGAUCUCAAAGCGGAUAUUCCAAUCCAAUAACUGACCUAGAUUUUGAUCUUGCAAGAAUUAAUCAAACAGAAGAUUAAUGUAUUUGCAAACAAGCAGGAGAAAAACGAAGUCAAGUGAUGAGCAAAAACUUUUAGAAAGCAAAUUAGUGUAUUUUAGAGGUACACUGGAUCAACCUGAGAGAUUCUAUAUAGAGGGGAGCCAAGCUCUCAGAAGAAAAGUAGACUCACCAAAUAUACAGAUGUCUAAGCUUUUGUUAGGCAUAUAUUCAUAUAAUAAAAUCUUUUCGUUUGCCUCGACGCAGUAGCCCAAAAGCCUUACUAGAUUUCUGUGUUGGAGUUUGGCUAUUAGCAUUACUUCGUUUUUAAAUUCUUCAUCACCUUGACUAGAAUGACUUGACAACCUCUUUACUGCCAUUUCUUGUCCCUGACAGAACUUACCCUGUACAAUAUUCCUCAUUAGCGGUUGUUACGCUAGAUCAUUUGAAAAUGGUACAAGAAAAACAACAGUUGAGGCAAGAACAACCUUGUAAACUGGACCAAAUCCGCCUCGACCAAGCCUGUUUGCAUCUGAGAAGUUAUCCGUUGCGACUAGUAUGCUUUUCAAGUUGAAAAAUGGGACAUCGAUCCUUUUCUUAUCAUCUUCAGUUAUUGAAUAUUUAGAUGAACUUUCGCUCUCGGGCAAGUGCUCUACCCUAUUCCCUAGAAUUAUUUCCUUGGCUUCUCAUGAUAUAAAAGUAAGUUCGAAAUUAGCAACUAAUAUAUAUAGAGAGCGGCAGGAAUCGAGAAGGAUGGCUAAGAAUGCUCAUGUUACCUUUUCUUCUCGACACCUUUUUGUUAUGGUAGAUUACAUAGCUAAUGCAGCAAAUUGCUAUAAUUCCAGCUGUUAGACUGGUGGAAAUAAUCACGGCUUUGCGAUUUGGGGAUGCUGCCUUCUCUCCACUCCAUGCUCCUUGCUCUGAACCAACAUGAAUUGAACAUGUUUAGGUGAUUAAAAUGAAGAAUACAACCAAAAGGAUCUGUGAGGGGUUAUCGGCACCUCUGGUACAAUUUAAUGCCAAGCCAUCCCAUUUGUAGUAUUGAUUGCAUAGACAUCUCCUCAGUCCUCCUCCCGCAAUGCUGCAACUUGAAUUUGGCCAAUCUUCACAGUCUGCUGAAGUAGUGCAUGUAGGUUCUGGUGGUGGUUCCCACAUGAUCUGUAUUUCGUUUAUAGAACUGAGAUUUUGUAAUUUUCCAUUGUAACACCGGUUUAUAGGAUGAAAAGGUAAUGACUGGUUGAGCCA